UGGAGUGUAUUCGAAACGCGGCACAAAGAAGCCCUUUCCCACCUAUAAAAAGGGCGGAAGCUUUCGUCCCUCUUCUUGGCCUCCAAAUCAGACACCGCGCUCUUCGAGAGCGAGCGAGGUGGAGAACCCUAGCGCUUUUCUUCCAGCAAUCGAGGGUUCUUGUUUUCGAUUCUGAAGGAGAUGAUAUUACGAACUCCGCCGCCGAGGAAGAGGAGGGCGGAUUCCGUCGCCGACCACGAGAGCCCCGUCUCCGACCGUCGCCUCGUGCUCUACGAUGACGCAGUCCCCGUCUCCUCCGUCGACCCGCCGCCCGAUCAGAUGGUCUGCACCUACCACUGCCGUCAGAUGGUUAAAUCAGAGUUUCUAGUAGCUUUUGAUACGGCGGAGAAGCAAGUACGUGAAUAUCAAUCCCAAUUGGAGAGAUGGAAGACGGAGCUGCAUGAGAGCGAAGAUGAGAGAAAAAAGUGUCAAGAUCGUCUUAGUUAUUUGGAACAAGAACUUGAGGCAUCCAAAGGGCGUGAACAUGCAUUGCAAGAAAGAUUGUUAAAGGAGGUCAAUGAUUCUCAGGAGCGAUAUCAGUUUCAAAUAAAGCGGUGCCAUGAGCUUGAGGUGCAACUCAAGAAAGAAGUUGAUUCUCGUAAAAAUUUUGAAUCAUCAGCAGCAUCAGCUAAAGAGAGAGUAACAGAUCUGGAAGAGAAACUUCAGCGGCUUUCUGAAAGCUCAGAAAGGGAGAAAAACCGUCUUCAAAGGGAACUCUCACAUUUGCAAGAUGAGUCACAGCUGUCUGUCUCUAGAAAGACUGCUGAUCUUGAGAAAAUGAGGCUCAAAGCAGAAAAUUUAGAGGAAGAGUCAGAGUUACUGAGGAAGCAGUUCAAGGACAUAAGAGAACAGCUGGAUGAGUGUCUUCAUCAGAAGAGUGCAUUAGAACACGAGCUAUCAACGAUCCCUACUCCAUCACAGGAAAGUACUCCCUCAGAGGACCAGAAUUUGGUGAAGCAUCUAAGAGACGAGCUUCAGAACUAUGAGGCUGAAGUACAAGAAGCCAGAAGAUUGAAAUCUUGCCAUGUGAAUAAUGAGUUAUUGAAGGAAAAGUUACUGGAGGAGAAGGGGCGCAGAGAGAAGGCAGAAAUGGAACUAUCCAAAUUCCAGCAGGCCCAACUAAAUGCGCAGAAUUUGGAACUUGAAUUAAUGUCUUGGAAAUCAUUGCUUAAAGAGAUUCCUGAUGUGACAUCUUAUGAUGAUAUACCCAAAAAAAUUGCAGGACUGCAAAAAGAAGCAAUUGAAAGCAUGAUUAAAGUCGGUGAAAUAAGUGCGCAUUUGAAAGAGUUGGAGGUUUCCCUGGAAUUGGCUGAACUUAGCAAACAACAUGCUGAAAAAGAGUCUGCAUUGGCCAAAGAGGAAGCUGAAAAUUCUGCUGUAGAAGUCAAGCGGCUUGAACGGAUGCUUUCUUCAGUUACUGAAGAAAGAGAUAGGCUAAAUAAGGAUGCUACAACAUUGAAUAAGCAGAAGACUGUGCAUGCAGACGGUGGAAUGAUGAAUGAAACCUUAGUUAAGGAUCUGGAAUCAACUCUUGCUCUAAGGGAACAGACUAUUAAAGAACUGGAGAAUAACUUACAUAAGCAGAGAGAAGUUAUGAAUCGUCAACAUGAUGAAAUAAAGCUACUGAAUGAAAAGCUUAGUUUUGAAGCAAGAAGAAUAAAGUCUUUGGAGCGGGAGGGUGACCGCUUACGUUCCGAAAUUGCUUUAUUAGAAUCGAAGUUGGGUCAUGGUGAUUACUCUGCGGCGAACACUAAGGUAUUGCGCAUGGUGAAUACUCUAGCAGUUGACAAUGAAACAAAACAAACUAUAGAAGCAUUACAAGCUGAACUAAAGAAAACACGGGCAAAGCUGCAAGCUGUUGAAGAAUUGAAGGGGCAGUCUGAUGCUGGAAAUGUAAUAAAUGUGGAUAUUUCUGAAAAGCUAGGACAGCUUAAAGGUCAAAUUGCAAUACUUGAGAAGCGUGAAGAAAGAUACAAGGCAGUUUUUGCAGAAAGGAUUUCAGUCUUCAGAAGGGCUUGCUGCUCACUUUUUGGUUACAAGAUUGUAAUGGAUGAUCAGCAGCGACCUAAUGGAAUUCCGGUGACACGAUUUACACUGCAAUCUAUAUAUGCACAAAGUGACGAUGAAAAGCUUGAAUUUGAGUAUGAAUCAGGAAAUACAAACAUUUUGGUUAACGAGUACUCUUCCCAGUCAGAAAUAUCCCAUCAGAUUGAGAUAUUUAUAAAGAAGAUGAAUUCCAUACCUGCCUUUACUGCUAAUUUAACUAUGGAGUCGUUCAACAAGCGCACCUUAAGUUAAAGACCCAUUCACCAGAAAGCAAUGGCUCAGGCAAGUUGCUCGGUGAGAGAUGUAAAUUUUUAUGAUGGCAAAUUGUAUGUCAUUUAUUUCCACAGACUGAGGAUAAAGUAAUCGGUUCAUUUUCUAAUGAAGGUGUUUAUAUGAAGGAGGUAAACGUCAACCGAGUCUGCUAGAGGAAGCUGAUUACAAAACAGAAACCUAUGAAGAUUGAAGAAAACAAGGGUGGAAACAGAUUAUGGGUCCUCCCAUUGUGAGUUUUUAUGAAAAAAAGUAUUUGAUGGAUGGUUGUUGAAAUAGAUUGAAUGCUUAUCACACAUUGGUCAGCUAUAAUUCUCUUUGUUGUUUUGGAGGAGCAUAAAGAGAAGGAAACAUGUUCAAAACUCCACGCAAAAAAGGUACAUGGUGAGUGGAGACUAAAAAAAGGUGCAUGGUGAUAGACUGCGACCUCCAUCCUUGGGAGUGUAUAAUGGUAGAUUUUUCUUCUUUUUCUGGAGCUAAGAUUUUGUAUUACAGUAGUGAUGACUCCAGAUCUAAAACUACCACCAGAUUAUUUCAGAAAUUUAUUACUAUUAUUACUCGUGUUGUUGUUGUUA
Phoenix dactylifera (date palm) is the source of this 2930-nucleotide RNA transcript. It is a transcript of the gene named mitotic checkpoint family protein, with no coding region annotated. NCBI's taxonomy places the organism in Eukaryota, Viridiplantae, Streptophyta, Magnoliopsida, Arecales, Arecaceae. The record is from RefSeq and is a predicted model, not a curated record.